This 76-nucleotide transfer RNA is filed under the name Pedobacter sp. RNAcentral's name for it is "tRNA-Lys". It matches the Rfam family "tRNA". From Rfam's summary of the family: Transfer RNA (tRNA) molecules are approximately 80 nucleotides in length. Their secondary structure includes four short double-helical elements and three loops (D, anti-codon, and T loops). RNAcentral also lists the same sequence under 3 other names. Lineage: Bacteria; Pseudomonadati; Bacteroidota; Sphingobacteriia; Sphingobacteriales; Sphingobacteriaceae. The record is from RNAcentral.
GGGUCGUUAGCUCAGUCGGUAGAGCAGCGGACUUUUAAUCCGUUGGUCCCGCGUUCAAGUCGCGGACGACCCACCA